This 646-nucleotide ribosomal RNA is filed under the name Streptococcus thermophilus. Its description in RNAcentral is "bacterial SSU rRNA". It matches the Rfam family "Bacterial small subunit ribosomal RNA", at positions 19 to 649 of the family's 1533-position model. Lineage: Bacteria; Bacillati; Bacillota; Bacilli; Lactobacillales; Streptococcaceae. The record is from RNAcentral.
UUCGCUCAGGAACGACGCUGGCGGCGUGCCUAAUACAUGCAAGUAGAACGCUGAAGAGAGGAGCUUGCUCUUCUUGGAUGAGUUGCGAACGGGUGAGUAACGCGUAGGUAACCUGCCUUGUAGCGGGGGAUAACUAUUGGAAACGAUAGCUAAUACCGCAUAACAAUGGAUGACACAUGUCAUUUAUUUGAAAGGGGCAAUUGCUCCACUACAAGAUGGACCUGCGUUGUAUUAGCUAGUAGGUGAGGUAAUGGCUCACCUAGGCGACGAUACAUAGCCGACCUGAGAGGGUGAUCGGCCACACUGGGACUGAGACACGGCCCAGACUCCUACGGGAGGCAGCAGUAGGGAAUCUUCGGCAAUGGGGGCAACCCUGACCGAGCAACGCCGCGUGAGUGAAGAAGGUUUUCGGAUCGUAAAGCUCUGUUGUAAGUCAAGAACGGGUGUGAGAGUGGAAAGUUCACACUGUGACGGUAGCUUACCAGAAAGGGACGGCUAACUACGUGCCAGCAGCCGCGGUAAUACGUAGGUCCCGAGCGUUGUCCGGAUUUAUUGGGCGUAAAGCGAGCGCAGGCGGUUUGAUAAGUCUGAAGUUAAAGGCUGUGGCUCAACCAUAGUUCGCUUUGGAAACUUCAAACUGAGUCAA